Molecule: ribosomal RNA, 310 nt
Filed under: uncultured eukaryote
Lineage: Eukaryota
Description: partial 18S ribosomal RNA
Rfam family: Eukaryotic small subunit ribosomal RNA
Source: RNAcentral
CCCUUAGAUGUUCUGGGCAGCACGCGCGCUACAAUGGUCUUCGCAAACGGAUGCAUUCUCGAAGGAGAAUGCCAAUCUUGGAAUCUAUGCCUUGGUCGGGACAGUUGCUUGCAAUUUUUCGACUCGAACCAGGAAUUCCUUGUAAUCGUGAUUCAUCACAUCACGAUGAUUACGUCCCUGCCCUUUGUACACACCGCCCGUCGCACCUACCGAUUGAAUGGUCCGGUGAAGCCUCCGGAUUGGCGCGCACCUCGGUGCCGCCGAGAAGUUGGCUAAACCUUACCAUUUAGAGGAAGGUGAAGUCGUAACA